This is an RNA transcript of Neltuma alba, 1516 nucleotides long. It is a transcript of the gene named ubiquitin-conjugating enzyme E2 34, with no coding region annotated. The record is from RefSeq and is a predicted model, not a curated record. The transcript is spliced from 11 exons. NCBI's taxonomy places the organism in Eukaryota, Viridiplantae, Streptophyta, Magnoliopsida, Fabales, Fabaceae.
AACAAGCAAGCACGGGACAUUGAAUUGAACGAUGGACACAGAUCGGAUCCUUCUCUCCCGAUUUUCAACGCCACCGUUUUAGAACGUUACCAACAACUUCUCGGUACUCUUUGUUUCCACUUUCGAAACGGGGAAAAUAAAUAAAUAAUAAAUUAUUAGAUAACGCCAGAAUUCCCAGUAACUAUUUGCUCGAAUCGAAACCAGGUCGAAUUUGCAAGACACAGAUCUCAGUGCUAAGCAGGCAGCUAAGAUUAUUGUUCGGAUCAAAGAAAUAAAGUACGGUGCAGAUCUUUGCUUGAUACUGUUCAAAAUUUGUUGAAUGGCGGAGAAAUCAUGCAUCAAGCGCCUCCAGAAGGAAUAUAGAGCUCUUUGUAAAGAGCCAGUGCCCCAUGUUGUUGCUCAUCCAUCACCUAACGAUAUACUUGAGUGGCAUUAUGUGUUGGAAGGAAGUGAAGGAACACCUUUUGCAGGUGGAUAUUAUUAUGGGAAAAUCAAGUUUCCUCCUGAAUAUCCAUAUAAACCUCCUGGAAUCAGCAUGACUACACCUAAUGGACGCUUCAUCACACAGAAAAAGAUCUGCUUGUCCAUGAGUGACUUUCAUCCAGAAAGUUGGAAUCCUAUGUGGUCCGUAUCAAGCAUACUUACGGGGCUUCUAUCCUUCAUGAUAGACAGCAGUCCAACGACUGGCAGCGUGAGCACUACUGCUGAAGAGAAGCAACGUUUAGCAAAAUCUUCCCUUGCUUUCAAUUGCAAGAAUGCAACAUUCAGGAAAAUGUUCCCCGAGUAUGUUGACAAGUACAACCAGCAGCGGCUUUCCGAGCAAGCUGCCUCUGAACAAACGGCAUCUGAGGUGGCAUCUCGUGACAAAAGUUCAGGGCCCAUGUUGAGAAAAGUUACGGGGUCUACAGGAGAAGACAUGAAAGUAGUAGAUGAAUUGAAAGAGGGGAGGAAAAACAGAAAGCAAUCUUUACCCACAUGGAUGAUGUUGUUGCUCUUCUCCAUUUUUGGGCUUAUAAUGGCAUUGCCUCUGCUUCAGCUGUGAUCAUGGACCACAUAAGGAUCUUUAUGGGCGUGAAUGUGGAUCCAUAAAGUGUCGUCCUUACUGGCUUCUUGGUGGUAAAUACCAAAAAAGUUGCAUGCUUGUGAUGUCCCUAUGAAUCCAGUUUGAGGUUGUCUUCUGGUCCUGUUCUUGUUUAAAUGCUUUAGUUGUUGUGCAGUGUAUGUGCAUGCAAUGAUCACUUAUGGCAGAUUAAGAAGACUAAAUUAUGACUGUUGCGUGUGCAUACGCUGCAUAACUUUAUGAUAUUUCCGAAUUUCCCUUCUUUUUCUUCCUACGCGACUUCUUGUAGCAGAUUGCCAUUGUUCUCGAGGGAUGGCCUAGACUAUUACUAUAGGGAAAGAUAUCUGAUUUAACUUAGCGUAACAUUAGUUUACCUUAAGUUUCUUUUGGUAAUUGGUAUGUACAAAAUUUAGAAAAACUUAGAAAAGAUAGAAUCAUUCCCAUUCUCUCUCUAAA